Molecule: non-coding RNA, 1500 nt
Organism: Camellia sinensis
Lineage: Eukaryota; Viridiplantae; Streptophyta; Magnoliopsida; Ericales; Theaceae
Source: RefSeq, a predicted model, not a curated record
GUUUAAAAUAGAAACAAGGUUGUUCUUAAUAGAAACACUAUCAAAUAACUUUACUUUUAUCCCUUAGUUACUUUUAUUUGUUCACAUUGUUUUCAAUCUUGCUGUGAAUAUAUAGUGGGUUUGAUUUAAUAAUUUAAAUUGCCAAUUCUAAAUUUAUAUUAACUCUUUUAUGUCACCCUAUUUUUUUUUUAAUUGAAUGGUAACUGAACCUUUUAAAUGAGUAGGUAUUUUAAAGAUGAGUAACAGUGAUGAAGACCAAUGGAAUGAUGACCAUGACGAUGAAGAUACUGACGAUGAAGGCAGCACAUCGCAAACCCAACAAAAUAAUAAUAUGCUCUUAGCUACAGCGGCUACAGUUGCAGCGACAUAUGCAACAAAUUAUUUGAUAAAAGAACCAUGUAGGACAUCUUGUUUAACAGGAGGGAUGUGGAUGGUAGAAUUACAAGAAGGGAAUCGGACAAGAAUAUUUGAAAAUUUUCGAAUGGAAAGAGAGAAAUGUGCAAGAAAGAUUUCAACAUUCCGGCGAGACUAUUUCAAAAUAUUUCAAGAAGGUGUUAAAGGCUGUUACAAUGAUGUCCAUUGAUUGGGUAAGGCCUCAACCGACUAAUGGUGUGCAUCCAUAUAUCCGACGCAACCGCAAAUAUUAUCCUCAUUUCAAGGAUUGUAUUUGAGUAAUUGACGGAACACACAUCAAAGCAUAUAUAUCUCCAGAUAAGCAAGCUCGUCUAAUAGGUAGAAAGGGAUAUGCGACUCAAAACAUAAUGGCCGCAUGUGACUUUGAUAUGUGUUUCACAUUUUGCUUACCAUGAUGGGAAGGAAGUGCACACGAUACUCAGAUCUUCUUAGAUGCAAUUAGGAAUCUUAGUUUUAAUUUUCCAAAACCACAAGGAGGUAACUGUUUUAUAUUUGAUUGCUACAAUAGAUGCACCACACAUUAAUCUUCAUAUUUAUUUUUACAUUUAUAAUUUCUUACUUAAAUUUCAUUUUGGAAUUUUAAAAUAGAUGAGUUUUACUUGGUGGAUGCUGGUUAUCCAAACAUGAAAGGAUAUCUUGCACCUUACAAAGGAGAGAGUUACCAUCUAGCUCAAUUUGAACAUGGUCAACCCCCCCAAAAUGCACAAGAAAAAUUCAACCAAGCACAUUCAUCACUUAGAAGUGUAAUAUAAAGAACGUUCGGGGUUUGGAAAGCAAGAUGGCCGAUGAUAAAGGAUAUCCCACCAAACUACAAGUGGUCGACCCAAGUCAAACUUGUUUGUGCAACAAUGGCAAUUCAUAAUUUCAUCCGACGAAGUAAGCUCCGCGAUAUUGCAUUUGACUCUUAUGAUAGAUUCACGGAUUAUGUGCCUAAUGAAGAUGAAGGAUCUUCGUCUCAACAAGCACGCCAUGGAAAUGAUGUUGCAUGUGAUGACAACGAGAUAAAAGUGAGGAGACAUAAUAUUUGUAUGUCAAUUUGCAGACGAAAUUAGGAGCUCUAUAAAUAUCUAUGAAGUUUUAUUUUUC